CUGACUUUCGUUACGGGCAAAAGAUCCAGGGAGACAGUCCACCCAGAAGCAGAGGAGAGGUGUCCCUCAACAAUGAGACAGGAAUUGCAGAGGAAAUGGGACACUACCUGUUCUUGAAGACAAGGCCAGUCACGGUCGCCUAGCGCUCCUUCUAGGCAAUCCACGCACCCAUGAAGGGAAACAUGGAGAACAAGCAAGCUUUCCUGUCUGAGACACUUAUGGGAGCAAAGAGCUCCACGGUCACGAGAUCUGCCCAAUCAAGCAGAAACAGGUUUGGAGAGAGAAACAAUCAUAACAGGGAUCUCCAGGAAAUGUCUCCCUGACAGACUGGGAAGUCACGGACUGGGAAGUCCCUGAUGGACAGGGAAGACAUGUGGCCAGAGAGAGAGGCAUCUAGGACAGGGGAGACAGAGCAAGAGGGAGGACAGAGCAGAAGGAGCAAGAGGGAGGACAGAGCAGAGGCAGGACAGAGCAAGAAGAAGGAGAGAGCAGAGGCCGGAGCCCAGGCAGGAAACAGCACGGUGCCACCGCCACAGGCAUAAGGGGAGGGGAUCCAAAAGCGUGGCUUGUCCAGAGAAACCAGCGAUCCAGUGACAGGGAUUGUUGCCAUCUCCCAUUCCCGGCUUCCUCUUGCAGACUGUAUCGUGCUAUGGCUUCAUUUCUCAGAGAAGAGCCGUGAAAAGAUACAAGCAUCUUCUCUGACGUGGGUCCGCUGCUCUCCUGUGGGACAAAGAGCUCCUGUGGGGCUCUUGUCCUCAGCUGCAGUGUUUUCAUCUUGAUGCUAGAAAAGAGGCUGCUCAGGAUGAGGAUGAGAUUUCAAUUGCUCCAGGACCGACGCAUCUCCUCACGUGGGCCAGGCCUUCACACACCCAAAGCGGAUCCGCGGCCGCGAAAACGAUUGACAACCGGCCUCAUGACCCAGGCAAAGAUGCAGAAAGAGGCUCACCAAAGACAGGCCGCCAUGCGAGAAACCGCUUUGUGGCACACAGGGCACAUUCGGGUCAUGAGACCUGCCCAAUCCAGCAGAAACACGUUUGGAGAGAGAAACAGUCAUGACACGGAUCUCCAGGUAGUGUCUCCCUGACGGACUGGGAAGUCAUCUUUGCUGAAGACAUUUGGCGAGAGCGAGAGGCAUCCAGGCCCCUGAGAAACAGGGGAGGCAGAGCGAGAGGGAGGAGAGAGCAGAGGCCGGAGCCCAGGCAGCGUAUAGCACCGUGCCACCUCCAUGGGCAUAAGGGGAGGGGUUCCAAAAGCGUGGCUUUUCCAGAGAGGCCAGCGUUCCAGUGACAGGGAUUGUUGCCAUCUCCCAUUCCCGGCUUCCUCUUGCAGACCGUAGCGUGGUGUGGCUUCAUUUCUCAGAGAAGAGCCGUGAAAAGAUACAAGCAUCUUCUCUGACGUGGGACCUCUGCUCUCCUGUCGGACAAAGAGCUCCUAUGGGGCUCUUGUCCUCGGCUGCAGUGUGUUCAUCUUGGUCCUAGGAGAGAGGCCGCUCAGGAUGGGGAUGAGAUUUCAAUUGCUCCGGGACCGACGCAUCUCCUCACGUGGGCCAGGCCUUCACACACCCAAAGCGGAUCCGCGGCCGUGAAAACGAUUGACAACCGGCCUCAUGAGCAAGACAGAGAUGCAGAAAGAGGCUCACCAAAGACAGGCCGCCAUGCAAGAAACCGCUUUGUGGCGCACAGGGCACAUUCGG
Molecule: long non-coding RNA, 1693 nt
Filed under: Homo sapiens (human)
Lineage: Eukaryota; Metazoa; Chordata; Mammalia; Primates; Hominidae
Description: non-protein coding lnc-GINS1-3:2
Source: RNAcentral